This 253-nucleotide ribosomal RNA is filed under the name uncultured bacterium. Its description in RNAcentral is "partial 16S ribosomal RNA". It matches the Rfam family "Bacterial small subunit ribosomal RNA", at positions 524 to 776 of the family's 1533-position model. The record is from RNAcentral.
UACGGGGGGGGCAAGCGUUGUUCGGAAUUACUGGGCGUAAAGGGCUCGUAGGCGGCCAACUAAGUCGGACGUGAAAUCCCUCGGCUUAACCGGGGAACGGCGUCCGAUACUGGAUGGCUUGAGUUUGGGAGAGGGAUGCGGAAUUCCAGGUGUAGCGGUGAAAUGCGUAGAUAUCUGGAGGAACACCGGUGGCGAAGGCGGAUCUCUGGGCCGAUACUGACGCUGAGGAGCGAAAGCGUGGGGAGCGAACAGG